Long non-coding RNA from Helianthus annuus (common sunflower), 905 nucleotides. RefSeq lists it as uncharacterized. The transcript is spliced from 3 exons. The record is from RefSeq and is a predicted model, not a curated record. NCBI's taxonomy places the organism in Eukaryota, Viridiplantae, Streptophyta, Magnoliopsida, Asterales, Asteraceae.
CAAAACACCCCAUAUGGCACGGAGCGUUAAUGCAUACCACAUAGUCUAAAUUCUAAAGAGGUAAAGGGUUUGAUACCAUUUUACUAGAGCUUUCGGAAAUCUAAUUGAACGAUUCCGUGCUAAAAACACGAAUCCCCAAACCUUCAAAACUGAACCCUUUUGGCUGGUCUAACAAACCAACGAACCUGGUUGGUUCGGUUUUUUUGAACCCAGACUGGCCACCAGUACCUCACUCUUUUUUUUUUACACCAAAUAUGAAUUGAAGAACUCGUCCUCCUACCGCUUGAGCGCAAGGUACAUGAUGCAUAUUUCUUUUUGGAAGAUAAAUACAGGAAGCGAAAGAGAGGGUAGAAACUAGAAACAAUGACUUAAAUUGGUUAAUGCUCAAAGUAAAUGCUCUCUUAGUCUCUAUUUCAUAUUACUGAAAUGAAAAUAAGAUUUCGUUCAUGUCUGGUCGAUCAUCUGGAUCUGGUUGAGUGCAGCGUAAAGCCAACUGAAGAAUCUGUGCUACAACAUCGUGUAUUGUGGAGAAAUCGGAAGCCAAAUCUGGAUCUACAAUUUCAAUCAGCCCAUUGAUUCCGUUUGAAAGUGAUUGUUCUAUCAAUUGUGGCAAAGUUAUGUCAUCUUCGGUGAGUCCUGUUGGUCUUUUUCUAGUGAUAAAUUCCAUCAUUACUAUCCCAAAGCUAAAUGUGUCUACUUUUGUUGUCACUUUUCUCAUAUAUGCAAACUCUGGUACAAAACAGAAAUGCAUUAGUGUUAUCUUUAAGGUCAAAUGCUAUUUAAACAUCAAAAUUGAUAUGUAUCAUGUUAGAUUUUCAAUUCUGAAAGAAUAAAAGAAAGAGUUGGUGAUGCAUUACCUGGUGCCAAAUAACCAAUGGUACCUUGAAAUGCUGAUGCAGAAGAAA